Molecule: ribosomal RNA, 427 nt
Filed under: Bacillus aerophilus
Lineage: Bacteria; Bacillati; Bacillota; Bacilli; Caryophanales; Bacillaceae
Description: bacterial SSU rRNA
Rfam family: Bacterial small subunit ribosomal RNA
Source: RNAcentral
UGCAGUCGAGCGGACAGAAGGGAGCUUGCUCCCGGAUGUUAGCGGCGGACGGGUGAGUAACACGUGGGUAACCUGCCUGUAAGACUGGGAUAACUCCGGGAAACCGGAGCUAAUACCGGAUAGUUCCUUGAACCGCAUGGUUCAAGGAUGAAAGACGGUUUCGGCUGUCACUUACAGAUGGACCCGCGGCGCAUUAGCUAGUUGGUGAGGUAACGGCUCACCAAGGCGACGAUGCGUAGCCGACCUGAGAGGGUGAUCGGCCACACUGGGACUGAGACACGGCCCAGACUCCUACGGGAGGCAGCAGUAGGGAAUCUUCCGCAAUGGACGAAAGUCUGACGGAGCAACGCCGCGUGAGUGAUGAAGGUUUUCGGAUCGUAAAGCUCUGUUGUUAGGGAAGAACAAGUGCAAGAGUAACUGCUUGCAC